GACGAACGCUGGCGGCGUGCCUAAUACAUGCAAGUAGAACGCUGAAGGAGGAGCUUGCUUCUCUGGAUGAGUUGCGAACGGGUGAGUAACGCGUAGGUAACCUGCCUGGUAGCGGGGGAUAACUAUUGGAAACGAUAGCUAAUACCGCAUAAUAGUAGAUGUUGCAUGACAUUUGCUUAAAAGGUGCAAUUGCAUCACUACCAGAUGGACCUGCGUUGUAUUAGCUAGUUGGUGAGGUAACGGCUCACCAAGGCGACGAUACAUAGCCGACCUGAGAGGGUGAUCGGCCACACUGGGACUGGGACACGGCCCAGACUCCUACGGGAGGCAGCAGUAGGGAAUCUUCGGCAAUGGACGGAAGUCUGACCGAGCAACGCCGCGUGAGUGAAGAAGGUUUUCGGAUCGUAAAGCUCUGUUGUAAGAGAAGAACGAGUGUGAGAGUGGAAAGUUCACACUGUGACGGUAUCUUACCAGAAAGGGACGGCUAACUACGUG
RNAcentral lists this ribosomal RNA (495 nucleotides) under uncultured bacterium. RNAcentral's name for it is "partial 16S ribosomal RNA". It matches the Rfam family "Bacterial small subunit ribosomal RNA", at positions 28 to 507 of the family's 1533-position model. The record is from RNAcentral.